UACGUAUGGAGCAAGCGUUAUCCGGAUUUACUGGGUGUAAAGGGUGCGUAGGUGGCAGUACAAGUCAGAUGUGAAAGGCCGGGGCUCAACCCCGGAGCUGCAUUUGAAACUGCGCGGCUAGAGUACAGGAGAGGCAGGCGGAAUUCCUAGUGUAGCGGUGAAAUGCGUAGAUAUUAGGAGGAACACCAGUGGCGAAGGCGGCCUGCUGGACUGUUACUGACACUGAGGCACGAAAGCGUGGGGAGCAAACAGG
Molecule: ribosomal RNA, 253 nt
Filed under: Anaerobutyricum hallii
Lineage: Bacteria; Bacillati; Bacillota; Clostridia; Lachnospirales; Lachnospiraceae
Description: partial 16S ribosomal RNA
Rfam family: Bacterial small subunit ribosomal RNA
Source: RNAcentral